Molecule: long non-coding RNA, 1161 nt
Organism: Lactuca sativa (garden lettuce)
Lineage: Eukaryota; Viridiplantae; Streptophyta; Magnoliopsida; Asterales; Asteraceae
Source: RefSeq, a predicted model, not a curated record
CUUCAUUCGUUUGAAAGUAUAUUUAGAGGGAAAUGGCCACGGCCACUACUGAUAUAGUAAUUGGACCUUGGGGAGGUGAAGGUGGGGAUACUCCCUGGAUAUUCAAACCAGAGGGUAGGAUUGUCGAUAUAUCCAUCCGAAGUGGAGAAGCAUUAGAUUCCAUUAGCUUCAACUAAAUGGAUAAGGAGGGUCUUGAAGACGAUUCUGAAAUAUAUGGUGGCGAUGGUGGCUUACUACAUGCGGUGAGCUUGAGUAACAUUUGUUACGUAUUCAUGUGUAGAAGUUAUAUUCUUAUUUUAUCAUAUAGCAUUCAAUUAUGACAUAUUUGGAUAUUCAAUUUGCUUUGUGUGAGGGUGAAAACAUUGGGAUCAGUAGCGGAUGCAGACCAAUUUAGUGGGGUGCAUGGACCCCACUUAAAACGUGGGUCCCACCAUAAUUAAUAUUAAAAAAAUAUUCUUAUUUUUACAAAAAGCCCCCUCUUGGCACCCACUUUUACACUAAAUAGCUCAUAUAGACAUUUGUUUUUAUUAAAAAAUCCAAUAUUUUUAAAAUUUUUAGAAUUUUAUACUAUUAUAUAUUUUUAAUGAAUAAUGGACCCCAGUUAGUUUUCGUUCUGGAUCCGCCAUGGAUCCGCCACUGAUUGGGAUUAGUGGAACUAUCGAAAAAGUUUCAAACAACACAGUGAUUACAUCAUUGUCUUUCAAGACAGACAUAGAAUCCUAUGGGCCAUACGGAAUGGAGGAGGGGGCAACUUUUUCUGUGUUGGUCAUUAAAAGUAUAAUUGUUGGAUUCCAUGGAAAACAUGGGUAUUUGCUCGACUCUAUCAGUGUCAUUCUUACUCCUGCAGAGUGAGGCUGGCCGAGAUAAUUAAUCUGUGGCAUGCAGCAUGCUAGCUGUUUGAAAUGAUACCAUUUUCAUAAUAAAGAAGCCUGAGAUCGAGAAACAUUGUGAAAUAGUUGUGUUGUUGAUAAUUAGUGGUCCAGAUCUGCCACUCGUACGUAGGCUUUAUGUUUUAAGAUCCUAUCAUGUAUGCACAAUAAUUAUGUGAGAUUUUAAAUAUAAGCACACAUAUAUAGGAAGUUAUAGUGACAAACUGACAAUAUGCUCACCCACUUAUGUACUCCUUUGAUUAAAAGCUUCAAAAUGAUUUUUUUUCUUUUU